This 203-nucleotide long non-coding RNA is filed under the name Lathyrus oleraceus (garden pea). RNAcentral describes it as "Pisum sativum (pea) long non-coding RNA (PSAT_LNC042137)". Lineage: Eukaryota; Viridiplantae; Streptophyta; Magnoliopsida; Fabales; Fabaceae. The record is from RNAcentral.
UCAAAAUCCACCAAGGAUUCACAUAACACCUACAGUUUCUCAAAUGGUGUUGUAAGAUUGAUGUGAGGCUCACGAUCAAGAAUGUGAGGCUCUUUGUAGAUGGGAGUUGAGACGACACCGGUAACCGCUGGGUUUGGGUUGCUUGACCUUGGAGCUUGUUCGUUUGAAUCCAUUUGUUGAGAGAAGUUGUAGACAGAUUGUUG